AUUGAACGCUGGCGGCAUGCUUUACACAUGCAAGUCGAACGGCAGCACGGGUGCUUGCACCUGGUGGCGAGUGGCGAACGGGUGAGUAAUAUAUCGGAACGUACCCGGCAAUGGGGGAUAACGUAGCGAAAGUUACGCUAAUACCGCAUAUGCCCUGAGGGGGAAAGUGGGGGAUCGCAAGACCUCACGUUGUCGGAGCGGCCGAUAUCAGAUUAGCUAGUUGGUGGGGUAAAGGCCUACCAAGGCGACGAUCUGUAGCUGGUCUGAGAGGACGACCAGCCACACUGGGACUGAGACACGGCCCAGACUCCUACGGGAGGCAGCAGUGGGGAAUUUUGGACAAUGGGGGCAACCCUGAUCCAGCCAUGCCGCGUGAGUGAAGAAGGCCUUCGGGUUGUAAAGCUCUUUCGGACAGAAAGAAAUCGCACUUGAUAAUACCUUGUGUGGAUGACGGUACUGUAAGAAGAAGCACCGGCUAACUACGUGCCAGCAGCCGCCGUAA
Molecule: ribosomal RNA, 502 nt
Filed under: uncultured bacterium
Lineage: Bacteria
Description: partial 16S ribosomal RNA
Rfam family: Bacterial small subunit ribosomal RNA
Source: RNAcentral